AGAGAAUGCGCAUCGACCUUGUUGAUGAGAGAAAGCAAUUGAGGCAGCUGUCCAUUAUCUCCUUUGCUUCACGACGAUAGGUGCCGCAGGUGUGGGUUUGGUCUAUGAACACAAAUAUUCUUUGGACCGGCAGAAGCAAACUCGCUUGGAAAUAGAGCAAAUUUUGCAAAAACACAUGCAAGGAAUCUCGCAAAGGAUGGAAAAAUCCGAACAAAAAAUCAAUCAAAUCAGGCAUAAAUAUCAAGAAAUCAAUCAAAUCAGGCGUGGAUUUCCAAUUACCAACCACGUGACAGACGCAAUGCGUGCGGAUAUGGAGCUCUGGUCAAGGCAGUCAACUAUGAAAAAUAUGACUGACGGCAGUUGAUGAUCGAAGAUGUAAACCCGUUGCUGAGUUAGGUAGUGAAGGAGAGAAGAUGACUUAGCAUUGUAAUCUGUUGCGUGUUAAUUAAUGAUACUAUUUCCUCGCUCGUAUUCACUGAAUUAUUAGUGUUCUCUGUGUUUUAUCCACCCACUUCUCCUAGGAACGCUGUCAAUUCUACUCUAAACAACUCUCCUUACUCUUUAUUUGCGGUUCUGUUCUUGAAAAAUCCUUCUGUUGCUUUUGA
This is a long non-coding RNA of Nicotiana attenuata, 605 nucleotides long. RefSeq lists it as uncharacterized. The record is from RefSeq and is a predicted model, not a curated record. NCBI's taxonomy places the organism in Eukaryota, Viridiplantae, Streptophyta, Magnoliopsida, Solanales, Solanaceae. The transcript is spliced from 3 exons.